RNAcentral lists this long non-coding RNA (28519 nucleotides) under Triticum aestivum (bread wheat). RNAcentral describes it as "long non-coding RNA (TAES_LNC013910)". Lineage: Eukaryota; Viridiplantae; Streptophyta; Magnoliopsida; Poales; Poaceae. The record is from RNAcentral.
UUACUUGACACUGUUCUGCUCUGUACCUGACGUGUUUGGUGCAUCUCUUUUCAGGUACAAGAUGGCUCUCACCAGAAUUGGUCUUGCUGGCCUCGCCGUCAUGGGGCAGAACCUCGCCCUCAACAUUGCAGAGAAAGGCUUCCCCAUCUCUGUCUACAACAGGACCACCUCCAAGGUCGAUGAGACUGUCCAGCGCGCCAAGCUAGAAGGAAACCUUCCUCUCUACGGUUUCCAUGACCCUGCAUCCUUCGUCAACUCCAUUCAGAAGCCACGUGUCGUCAUCAUGCUUGUCAAGGCCGGCGCACCUGUUGACCAGACCAUUGCGACGCUCGCAGCUCACCUGGAGCAGGGCGACUGCAUCGUUGACGGAGGAAACGAGUGGUAUGAGAACACGAAAAGGAGGGAGAAGGCGAUGGAGGAGCGUGGGCUCCUCUACCUCGGGAUGGGUGUUUCCGGAGGAGAGGAGGGUGCCCGCCAUGGCCCCUCCAUGAUGCCUGGAGGCUCAUUGGAGGCAUAACAGUACAUUGAAGACAUUCUUCUCAAGGUGUCUGCUCAGAUCCCUGACAGCGGCCCCUGUGUCACAUACAUUGGGAAUGGUGGAUCCGGAAACUUUGUCAAGAUGGUUCACAAUGGCAUUGAGUACGGUGACAUGCAGCUGAUCGCUGAGGCGUAUGACGUUCUCAAGUCGGUUGGCAAGCUUACAAACGGUGAGCUGCAGCAGGUUUUUGCCGAGUGGAACAAGGGUGAGCUCCUCAGUUUCUUGGUCGAGAUCACUGCUGAUAUAUUCAGCAUCAAGGAUGACCAGGGUGAAGGCUACUUGGUCGACAAGGUCCUGGACAAGACCGGGAUGAAGGGAACCGGGAAGUGGACGGUGCAGCAGGCUGCUGAGCUCUCUGUGGCUGCUCCUACCAUUGAGGCGUCCUUGGAUUCCAGGUUCCUCAGCGGACUCAAGGAUGAGCGUGUCGCGGCUUCCAAGAUCUUCCAGGGCGACUACUCCAGUGGCGAAACUGUGGACAAGGCACAGCUGAUCGAGGAUGUGAGGAAAGCCCUCUAUGCCUCCAAGAUCUGCAGCUACGCCCAGGGCAUGAACAUCAUCAAGGCCAAGAGCACGGAGAAGGGAUGGGGCCUCAACCUCGGCGAGCUGGCCAGGAUCUGGAAGGGCGGGUGCAUCAUCCGCGCCAGCUUCCUCGACCGCAUCAAGAAGGCCUAUGACAGGAACGGUGAGCUCGCCAACCUCCUGAUCGACCCUGAGUUCGCGCAGGAGAUCAUGGACAGGCAAGCCGCAUGGAGGAGGGUUGUCUGCCUCGCCAUCAACAACGGGGUCAGCACCCCUGGCAUGUCCACGAGUCUGGCCUACUUCGACUCCUACCGGAGGGACAGGCAAUUUUUUCUGGUUCAGGUACUUUUUUCAAAUUCGUGAACUUUUUAAAAUUCCAGUUACUUUUUCCCUAUUCGUGUAAUUUUUCAAAUUUGGAAAAAGUUCCUGGAUUAAAAAAAAACACGAACUUGGAAAAAGCAGGCGGUUUCGAAAAAAAGUAAACGAACAUGAAAAAAGUACACAGAUCUGAAAAAAUGUACGGGAAUUUGAAAAGGUGUGUGGGUUUGAAAAAAUUAUGCAAACUUGUUAAAAGUACUCGAACUUGUAAAAUUUACGUGAACUUGUAAAAACUAUGAGAAAUUUAAAAAACUGACGGAUUUGAAAAAGUACACGAAUGUGAAAAAAGUAUGGGGCCUUGAAGAAAGUACGCGGAUUUGAAAAAAAGUAUGUAAAUUUCAAAAAAGUUCACUGAUUUAAAAAGAAUAUGUGAAUUUGAGUCAGGACCGCUCAAAACCGGGGUGAGUUUGCAGUAAAACCGGUCAAAACCAAGACCAGGGGACGAACCUUGUCCGGUUUCAAUAAUUGGGUGUGUGAAUUGUUCGGUUUCGUAGUUGGGGGCUAAAUCUAGACUGCACCAAAAAUCAAGGGGCAAAAGGUAUACUUUUCUCUUUUGAUAAAGCUUAAGUUUGAGGCGGUCUUUUGAAAAUGUGUCGGGCCAAAUAAGUUGAGCUCCCUAAUGGGGCAGGAGUGGAUUUUUAUUCUCGAUGACCAGUCUGGAUUUUUAUUCUCGAUGACCAGUCUGGUGAUAAAAUUCCUUUUAUCAAUGAGCAAAUGAGAUGAAGCAAAGCUUUUGCCUCGUUUAGAAAAUCUUGGUCUGUGGUGACAUGCUUAUCUUAGUACUAAGGAUGAUUAUUUGUUAGUAACAUUAUGUAUGCCAACGAGCCUCCCUCUCCUUGUGCUGUAAAAAGAAAUUUUACCGUGUGAAAACUGAUGGCUUUUGGGGACACGAAGAAUGUGAGGCAGGUCGUGCGAGGAGACGCCCAAGUUGACCAGCUGGAGCAGGUCAGGCAGGUAGACAAUGAGAAGCAAUACGUCAGCGAACCUCUCGAUAUAUAUCAUUGUUUGAACGUGUAGAGGUGAUGUGUUGGUCCGUCACCACCGACGACUUCACAGGAGAAAUUGAUCCAUUAGACGAACCAAACUUUGGGUAGGUACACACGAUUAUUAAAAGGUGCAACUCUAGAACAAAUCAGGGAAGUGUUGCAUUGAAUAAAAUACAGAUGUUCAAUCUGAGUGGAAUGAAAAAGAAAAAACAUAAUGACAGUGUCAUUAGCAGAAAAUCCGAGAGAAUUGAUCCAUCACAAUAAAAGUAGUGGUUUUUUUUACUGAUGACACCGCUUUUGAGGUGUUUUGCAUUUCACUUGUUCAAUCUGAAUGAAGACCUAAAAAUCCAUGCCCGACUUAUAAACCCAACCGGAGAUAAUAGUUAGAGCCGGUUUGUGUGCUGGACUAGGGGCUUGUAUCGUGAGAAAAAGAGAAAAAAAUGAUGCGCGCGCGUGUGUGUGUGUUUGUAUUUUUUUCAUGUGACUAAUCUGUAGGCGAAUCCCAACAUGCUCUAUAGAAGCAAGUUUUUUCACAUUCAGGUGAAAUCGUCAAACGAGGUAGUAUUACUUUACAAAAUGCUUCCGCAAGUCCCAAUCUCUUCUCCCUAGUUUAACCGGCACGUCACGUAGUGUCACUCGCUGAAAACCUUAAACUUAUGGAUUCUUUUUUUUUUAAGUUUAAGAAUAUGUUAAACUUAUGGAUUCUACCUAAACCACUCCCGCGGCAUCUUCCACGACGUGCACUACAUAAGCGUCACUGUCACUUGCACGUCCCAAGCGUUUUCCACCAACAGUGAUCAGUCUCUCUUGUUGAUUGAUUAGCCUGAUUGAUAACAAAAGCUGCAUCAGCAUUUAGUAUCAUCUCUCACCCUUGUCGUGGCAAGUUGCGAUCUAGGAGUAGAUUGCAUGGCUGGCAGUGGUACGGUUUACACGCAUGGUUUGAUUUGCCAUGUUUACAGUACAGUUUGUCGAAAGUACAGUAAUAAUUUUUUGUAGCCCAUGCCCCAUCAACAAUGCAAAGUGCUUACGUAGGUGCUUAGAAAAACAAGCCGAUUUUUUCUUAAACACCGGAAAACAUGCAACCGCUAUUUCUAUAUACACUACUUAAAAAAAACAGUGUUAUUUUUCGUGCUGGCAGAACACCAUUCUACCUUCUACCAUCCUUCAUCUGCCCCUCCUCCCGUACAUUCUCCUCACACGUAAAGAACCAACGGACAGGGCCGGGCCGGCCGGCCCUGGCAUCCUAGAGGCCCUUGUGCGAGCUUCGUAUAAUGGGCCCUUAUAAUUGACUCAAUUUUUCUUUCAGUAAAGGACGUAGCACCGUUUUUAGAUUCAAUUAAUUGAUUUACAUGUUAGCUCCUUUUACUUUUCUCACAACUUGAUGAUAAUUGCAUUUUUGAAACAUUCUUACAAAAAAAAGGAGAGAGCACCCGAGUUCUUGAAUCUUGGUUUUGGAGUAAAUUAGAAGAAAUUCUACGCUCCAUCUAUCCAAUAAUCAAAGUUCAUGCAACGACACAACCUGCUGAAUUUACAUGACUACAAUUUGUGCAAAAAAAAGAGGAAUCGAGUAGGUUAAACAUCAGCAAUGGUUCAUCUCAUGAAUUUGACUAUUAUGUCAACUGAUCAUAACAGAAAUAAGUAGACAAAGAUCAAGGAAUUAUGAUCUAAAAAUUACCUGAAUCAGCAAAGCCCUUUGUUGCUUCGCUUCAACAAUGCCUGGACUUCACGUCUGCAUCGCUUGCCCUCACACACUGACCACAUCUAACUGACAAUGGACGGCCAUGCUGCUCUCGCGUUCUUCCCAGGGGCCCAGGACCAGAGUGUGUCGCCGGCUGGCCUCCAUCCGUCGGGUUUCUUGGGGCUGUUUAUAUAUAUGAGAAAACAGUAUAGUUUUCCCCCUCAAAUCCACAUUGAUGGAUCCAUAACCCCCUGAACUCCAAUACCAUAUAAUUUACCCCUUUAAAUUGUCAAGACCGGAUAAAUCAAGCCCCAUAGUGGUUUUUUCUUUUCUUUUCUUUUCUUUUCUUUUGAGAAUCAUGAGCAGAGGCCAAAUAGGACCCGCCUUCCCUCCGCCCCCGUCAGCGCUAGCUUUGGUUCCCACUCGCGUCAGAGACCGUAAACCUACCCACCCACCCACCCCCUUUUUUUUGAUGGUAGUGCGGUGCGCGCUUGGGAGUUGGGAGCCGCCAGGCCCGGGCCCACCCGUCGGCCAACGCUAUUCUUCUAUUUAAGCAGGCGCGAGGGGGGUUGCAGAGGGGUAGGUGGUCGCUCUCGCAUCGCCCUUGCUCUAGACCCACGCAGAUCUCAUCCAAGGCAGGCGCAGGUCAGGCAAUUCCCCUCUCCCCCUCCCCCGAAUCUCCUCCCCCAUCGUUUGCUUCUUUGCUUGAGCCCCGCCCCCGCAGCCCGGUCCCGGUCCCGGUCGAGGUUUCCGGCGGGGCGGGCGGAAGAUCCGAGGCGAUACCGGCGAGGUGUAGCUAGUUCUAGGCAGAUGGGUCCACGAGUUUCCUGGUUUACGCCUCAGAUUAGAUCCACGGGAUGGGGUGGGACUUUGGGAGGGAGCAGUCCAGUUGACCAACUAGUGGCGUGGCAGGGAAUCCGGCGGCGCUGAUUGCGUCCCAAGUCUGCUCAAACACUAGAUUAGAUUGUACCACGAGCCAGCGCUAGUUGAUUUCCUCGGCAGUUCGUGUGCCGGACGGACGUACAGCCAGCCAACACUAGUUGCCCUGCGCUUCUACCCGUAUGUACCGUAUGGCCAAGGUUGUGUGCCGUGGAUCAUCAGGUGUUGGUAGUGAUAGCCGUGGUCGAGGAUGCAAGACAGCCUGUUUACUCUCACGCCAUAACUCUGAUUCUUUCUUUUUUGUUAUAUAUAUAUAUAUAUAUUUUGUAUGGUCGAUGAUGCUGAAACCAUGCCGUCUGAUGCUGGAUGGUAGCUGCGCUGUGUUUUGUGAAUGUUGCUAGUGCUCCUGAGCAGCCCCGACUGCAGAUUAUGUUUCAGCAUACUGUCGGUUUCUUGAGUCAUCUUAAGCAACAAUCCAUGUGCGUCGCUCAAUCACGCGGGCGGGUGCUGCUGUUCGAUUCUGAUCUUCUGCUGCCUCAACUAUGUUGCUCUACACCAUGAUACAAUUAGCUGCAAGUUGAUUACGGAUUUAAUCUGUCAUCUCAAUCCCAUGCCGUGCUGUCCGCCCUGUCGCAUCUAUCCUGAGGACAUCGCGUCAAUUCUGAUUGACGUUGUAACCUCAUAUUCAGUUAUUCACUGGUCGCUUUCUGGAUUAUUAAUUUCCUUCAACUUUUGUUCGCUGCAAACAAUUGUUCGGAAUGAAUCUUGUUCUUGCGUCUAGUUCAUAUGCAUCAUCAUUUGUUCUGUAAAGCCAGACUUUUAACCUAUCGAGUCAGAUUUGCAUAAAUUACUUGACACUGUUCUCUUCUGUGCGUGACGUGUUUGCUGCAUCUCUUUUCAGGUACAAGAUGGCUCUCACCAGAAUUGGUCUUGCCGGCCUCGCCGUCAUGGGCCAGAACCUUGCCCUCAACAUUGCAGAGAAAGGGUUCCCCAUCUCUGUCUACAACAGGACCACCUCCAAGGUCGAUGAGACUGUUCAGCGCGCCAAGCUAGAAGGAAACCUUCCUCUCUACGGUUUCCAUGACCCUGCAUCCUUCGUCAACUCCAUUCAGAAACCACGUGUCGUCAUCAUGCUUGUCAAGGCCGGUGCUCCUGUUGACCAGACCAUCGCAACGCUCGCAGCACACCUGGAGCAGGGCGACUGCAUCGUUGAUGGAGGAAACGAGUGGUACGAGAACACGGAAAGGAGGGAGAAGGCGAUGGAGGAGCGUGGACUCCUCUACCUCGGGAUGGGUGUUUCCGGAGGAGAGGAGGGUGCCCGCCAUGGCCCCUCCAUGAUGCCUGGAGGCUCAUUGGAGGCAUACCAGUACAUUGAAGACAUUCUUCUCAAGGUGUCUGCUCAGGUCCCUGACAGCGGCCCGUGCGUCACAUACAUUGGGAAGGGUGGAUCCGGAAACUUUGUCAAGAUGGUUCACAAUGGCAUUGAGUACGGUGACAUGCAACUCAUUGCUGAGGCGUACGACGUUCUCAAGUCGGUUGGGAAGCUCACAAACGGUGAGCUGCAGCAGGUUUUCGCGGAGUGGAACAAGGGUGAACUCCUCAGUUUCUUGGUUGAGAUCACUGCUGAUAUCUUCAGCAUCAAGGAUGACCAGGGUGAGGGCUACUUGGUCGACAAGGUCCUGGACAAGACCGGGAUGAAGGGAACCGGGAAGUGGACAGUGCAGCAAGCUGCUGAGCUCUCUGUGGCUGCUCCUACCAUUGAGGCGUCCUUGGAUUCCAGGUUCCUCAGCGGGCUGAAGGAUGAGCGUGUCGCGGCUUCCAAGAUCUUCCAGGGUGACUACUCCAGUGGUGAAACUGUCGACAAGGCACAGCUGAUCGAGGAUGUGAGGAAGGCCCUCUACGCCUCCAAGAUCUGCAGCUACGCCCAAGGCAUGAACAUCAUCAAGGCCAAGAGCACGGAGAAGGGAUGGGGCCUCAAUCUCGGCGAGCUGGCCAGGAUCUGGAAGGGCGGGUGCAUCAUCCGCGCCAGCUUCCUGGACCGCAUCAAGAAGGCGUAUGACAGGAACGGUGAGCUCGCCAACCUUCUCAUCGACCCCGAGUUCGCGCAGGAGAUCAUGGACAGGCAAGCUGCAUGGAGGAGGGUUGUCUGCCUCGCCAUCAACAACGGCGUCAGCACCCCUGGCAUGUCCGCGAGUCUGGCCUACUUCGACUCCUACCGGAGGGACAGGCUCCCUGCCAACCUCGUCCAGGCCCAGAGGGACUACUUCGGGGCGCACACCUACGAGAGGGUUGACAUGCCCGGCUCCUUCCACACCGAGUGGUACAAGAUUGCCAACUCAAAGAUCUAAGAUGCUGCUGCUGCUCUACCAAGAGACGGUCCAUCAGGUUUCGUCUUUCCGGUAUCCUUUGUUGCUGCCAGUCAUGAGUCCUUUUCCUGUAGGGGAGGAACCGCCGUUUAAUUUUUAUUAUUUGAGUAACGAGUCCUGUAUUUAUUUUCUACAAGGAGAUCACAUAUUCUCUCCAGUCUCCGCUACUUCCAUGUGAUUGAUCAACCCUGGAGGGAAGACAUUGCCAUUCUGAAUUAGUUUGAAUAAAAUGUGUUUUUACCUACCUGUGUUUGAUAGCCAGUGUUCCUGCUUUCUCAAGGCUGCUUUACUUGUUGCUUGUUUGUUGUGUCAUAUGAUUCUCACAAAAUUUUGUUGCUAUCUCGUGUCUAUGGUAGCAUGUGACAGUCCUUUCCUUUUUGUUUGGAAGAUAGGCCAUGUUUGCCUACCCUGUUUAUGGUUUUUUUGGGUACUGGAUCAGGUAUGGUACAGUUCUUGUGUUACAUAGUUGAGUUGUGACACUGUCAAAAGAAAGUUCCAACUGUGAACAUAAGUAAUCAUGAAAGGUGUGGUACUACUGGCCUCUAUGUAGUUCAAAGAUGAGUCAGUUUUGUCGGAAGUUUGUAAGAAAUCAGCUCAUUUCGAUAAAAUAUUACAUUGAGUUUCAUCUGAGAUCGACCCAUUUAUAUUAUGAGGCCCUGUUUGUUUGGGCUUUUGCUUCCGCUUUUGCAGCUUUGUCACUUUGACCAAAAAGCUAUAAAAGCUCCUAAAUAGGUGCUUCAAAAACCAUAAAAGCUCCAAAAGCACCCAUUUAGAAGCUUUUAUAACUUUUUGGCCAAAAUGAAAAAGCUGCAAAAGCAAAAGCUCAAACAAACAGGGCCUGAACCAAUUAACAUCCCUCAUCCAUUUAUAUUCUGAACCAACUUCCAUCCCGCAUCCUGUAGAUGCUGGACUCAACUGUCUGUACUUGAUUGCCAAUCAUCAGCGCUUAGUCUGACUAGGGAGUCUCCUGGUGCGUGUCGUGCAAAGACAGCUCUUCUUUGCAGUGCGUAAACCGAGUUUGCUACUCUGCUUCCGGUAUUGUUUCCUACUACUCCCUCCGUCCGGGAAAAGUUGUCCGCGACUUAGUUCAACUCUAAUUUUGCAAAAAACCUCUUCUACGUCGUAAACUGUUGCAAAUCAGCCCCCCCUCAGCUUCUUCCUCCUUCCUCCGUCGCCCGAUCCAUCCACCAAGGAGCCCGACCCCGACUGCAGCUGCUCCUCCAAGGCGACCACCUCGACGGGCGCCUCCUCCUCGUCGCCCUCCUCGCCGGCGCAGGUUCCUCGUGCCUGCGGCAACCCCAGCCGCCGCUCCCCUCUCCCUGACUUCCGCAGGCAGGGCCACGCGGGUCUUCCCAGGUGGCGGGACCUGUUGCUGCCGCUGCCAUCCGUCCGCCACCUGCCGCUGCCGUCGCCCGCCACCUACUGCUGCCGCUGCAGCCCGCCCGAUCGAGUCCGCGCGGACCUGUUGCUGCUGUUGGCGACUGCAUCUGCUGCUGAUGUCGGCGACUGCAUUGGCUGCAGGUACUUCCUGAACAAUGGACUGAUUGUGGCUGAUUGAUCUGAACCUGUGUCAACUGCAGUUUCAGUUACAGUGUGAAUUGCAUUAUCAGCACACUUAUGUAAGCAUUGUACUUUGUGAAAUCUUUGCUGUUCUUUGUGAAAUCUUUGCUGUUCCAUCAGAGUACUGUACCUGAAAAUUAGUGAAGUUGAUUUACACCAAGAGUACUCCAAAAUUGUACUGUAAGGAGUUGCUCCUUGUGCUGCUGCUGCUCCUCCUGUUCCACCAUCAAUGGAGUUAAAUGGAUGUAAAAUUGACAGUUCUUGAUUAAAAAAGUGUAUCAAGAGGCCACAAAAAUUGUAAACUUCUCUGAAACAUGAAAAUUUUGGACUGAUAAUGAAUCUGGCCAUGUUUGAGGUGUUUUGACAACUGAAUUUGGCCAUGUUUUGACACUGAAUUUAAAUGAUGUAAUAUGCAUAUUACAAGAAGUUUCAUAAAACAAAUAAAAGUGCUUGUGAGGACAAGCUGUGUUCAAUCAACUUGAUGUUCAGAACCUGUCAUUUUCUAUGUGCUUGCGAGGACAAGCUGUGUUGAUCAGUGCUAGGAUGCUAACACCACAAGAAAGCAUGCAUGCCAUGUUCAGGCUUCUUUUUCUUAGUGCAUAUAGAAGUGGCAACUAAUCACCACAAAAUGGAGUGCAUAGGUUCAGACUUGAAGCAUGCAUUUUCCAUACAUAGGUUCAGACUUGAAGCACGAAAAUGUACUCCUGUAGGUUAGCAGGAAGAGCUUACAGAUGUUCCAUAUGGCAAGGGUGACUUGACGCCAUUACGAAAACCUCGCCGUACAUCCACUCGGCGCCGCACAGCCUCCCUGAGAGCAGUGAGUGAGCGAGUGGCAUCAGUUAGUGAGCUCAAAACCAGUUCAGUCAGUAGCAGUAGCAGGAUGGAGCAGUAGAGUGAGUGUGACAUCACUUGAUGCACUAAUUCAGUCAAAAGCAGAGUGAGAGAGGCAAAUUCGGUAACCUGCAAUGUCCUAGCCCAAUCUAUAUAAAAAAGUGACAUCAAUUUGUGCAAAUCCUAGCAAAAUCUAUAUAAAAAAAUUUGACAGCUUCAGAACAUCCUAGCACAAUCUUUUCAUUAUCUCUGAAUUUCUAAAUAGAGUCUACAUACCGCAAAAAUUUGAGAAAACUACUGAAUUAUUGUUGUUUAGUCAUUGUUUCUACUGUAGUUUUCAGUAUUUUGUACAAACUGAAAACUGAUUGUGUUAGACUAGGAGUACUUGAUUGUGUUAGACUAGGAGUACUUGCUUAAUUCAUCAUGGUUUUCUUUUCACACUAGGAGUACGUGCUCAAAUGAACAAGGAGUACUUUUAAUUAAUUUCAAUUAGCUAGAAUUAUUUGAAUUAGCUAGAUUUAUUCGAAUUAAUUUGGGAUUAUUUGAAUUAGCUAGAUUUAUUUGAAUGAAUUUGGAAUUAUUUGAAAGCCUAAAAAUCAAGCAGAGAGCAGAGCAGUGCAACCUCCUCUGAAUGAAAAUAUCAUGUCACUGGAAAGCCCUAAAAAGCAAGCAGGGAGCAGAGCAGUACAAGAGUUGAUUGAUGUUUCUUCUGUUGAAGUUACCAUGUUUCUGUAAGGAAUGGCCAUCAUGUUCCUCUAGUUACCAAAAUGAACAAGGAGACUUUUAAUCUCUCAGAAGUCAUUGAAGCAUCUUUUAAUAAUUUGUAAGGAACAUACUUUUUGAAGGGAAGAAGAUUGGUUUCAUAUAAAAGGUUUUCCUGAAUAGACUUUUAAGCUCAGGCAGUAGCUCUAGGCAACACUAUAAUACAUAAUUUGGCAGGCCUCAAGUAAGAACUGUAGAACUAUUUUGUCACCAAACUUAAAUAAAAUUUGGCUCCAUAUAAAAUUUAAAUAAAAGAGCACUUUGGCUCCACAUGAUAGGAGUAUGUAGCUCCAUAUGAUAGGAGUAUGUAGUCCAAAUAAUCAUCUUCUUAGUUGAAAGCCUUUAAUUCACGUAGUCCUAAAAUUUCUACACACAGAUUGGACAAGCAAUAUUCCUAAAAUUUCUGCAAUUACAGUAUAUUCGAUCAAUGCAAAUUAAGCACUCAUGAAACAAGUCUAUUUGGUCAAUGCAACUAUGUGGUGCUAGCGCCUUUUGUCUUUGUGGUUGGGCACAGUUUGGCACAAUCUGGUCAUCUGACCAAAAUAAAAGGUGGGCAGAUGUCUUGAGAUGCUGUACCGUAUUUUGAAUUUCUUGAGAUGCUGCAGAUGGUAAUGGUACAUGCUCUUUUAAUUACACCUGUAUUUGAGGAUCCAAACAGCUUUGCCUACGGUUUACACCAGGUCAAAUGGUCAAAAAAAUUCAGUUUGCUGUUCCAUGUAAAUAUUCAGAGUAAUUCACAAUCUUUUCUAACAUCAUAUUUUCUGAAUAUUCAGAGUAAUUCAGUUUGCUGUUGGGAUUACACUGGCAUAUGCACCUUGUUCGAAGACAAGAUUUGCAAAUUCGGUGAACAUUCUAAGUCAAGACUGAACAUUCAGUGUUAAGUGUUAACACAACACUGGCAUAUGCACCUUGUUCGAAGACAUGAUCAGUUUUUAGGAAAGACAAGAUUUACUAAUUCAGUUUUUAGGGAAGACAAGACUGAACAUUUAAACUCUGGAAGCUGGCAUUCAGCAAAGACUGAAUAUACAAAUUCAGUUUUUAGGAAAGACAAGAUUUACUAAUUCGGUGAACACUCAGUCUGAACAUUUCUGAAUCUACACACACCUUGCUCGAAAUUGAUUUGCAGGGCAUCCUGUUGGUUGUCUCCCUUCAUCAACUUUGGGCUGGUCUUCUUCCUGGUGCACACGGUUCAAGCUGGCCCUACUGAACACAGCAAUGCAAAGAGCAUCAAGCAGUAAUAGAGAGCAGAGAAUGGAAACCCAUGAAAGUGCAGAGUUUAAGCUCUAUUCAGCAAAUGAAAGUAGCAGUACGAGGCGCUAGGCUGGCUUAAGUAAACAUUCGACCUCUCUUGACGAACUCAGGGGCUGGCUCGACGGUCUCGACGGGGGUGGGCAGGAGCGCGAGCCUCCGGCACGCUGCAGCGUCGCACACCUCCUCGAGCACCGUGAUCAGCCGGCCCGUAGUGGAGGCGAGCGCGAGAUGACGGCGUUGGCGUCGACGAGGGCCACGGCCAGGCCACUCGAGUUGGCGCAGCUGGACACGAUUCGGCUCACCGCCUGCGCGGACGAUUCCUUGGCCACCGUCUCUCGCCGCGUCGCGGUCGCGCCCCACGCCACGGGGGCUGGGGCGGGGGUGGGAAGGCCGCGUCGCAGCCCGUCGGGCCGAGGGCCGGCCAUGCUUCUUCCAUCAACGCUAGGAGGGAGGGGGUGGCCGCGAGCAGGAGACGCGGCGGGUGGAAGAUGAAACAAUUUUUUGGGUGAAAGAGGGAAGAUUCGGGAGGCAGGCAAGGGAGGCAGGGGAAGGGAGCGGCGGAGGAGGCAGCUGCGGCGGCGGCGGAGGACGCGCGGCAGAGCAGGGGAGUAGCGCGAAGCAGGGGAUCUCCGGCGUUCAUGCGCCCGACACAGCGGCGGAGUGUCGACCGGAGAAGACGAGGAGUGCCGGUUGUGUCGGAAAUUAGCUGAGGGUGUUUUUGUAAAAUGAUCACGGGGACAACUUUUCCCGGACGAAGGGAGUACUUUAUUGGCACUAUGGUGCAUCUUGCAGGCAUUUGACCGCACCUCACCCGCCUCUUCGCCGCCGCUGAUAUUUUGUAAGAUUUGUGGCCAUGAAACUGAAGAUGGUCACCAUGGCAUUGUCAUUGUUCGUUGCCCUCAGAGAUCCAAUGCGCAAAGUAUGGGACUUACCUUGGGUUCGUAGGAUCGGAUUUGCUGUUGGUGCCACUAUCUUCCAUGGUGAAGAUGCAAGAGACAUAAUAGUACCCUACUUCUGUUAUAAUAAUUGAUGUAAGGAACAUCCAAGAGAAGAAUAUCUGUGGGAGUUGGCUUCCCGCUUCUAGGCCCCCCCUCCCCCCCGCCGCCGACGGCUCCCCUGCACAGAGCCGCCGCCGCAGUGGCCGGAGCCCGCCGUCGCCGCCAGUCCCUUCCCCUUCCCGUUCCCCUUCUCCUUCCUCCCUCCCUUCCCCGUACCCCCGCGUCGCCUCCCUGAGCGAGGCGACCGGGGGCCCUUCUGUUGUACGGUGGAACCCUAGAUGGAGAUCUUUCACUUAAUGGAGGGGAAAUCCCAAGAACAAGAAGAACACAAAUGGAAAAACAAGAGGAACACUCAAAUUGACUUGACCCAAUCACACAUGUGCUAGAUCCAAUCACACAAAGAGAGAUACAAAGGUCCAAAUCCAACAUAAGAAGAUACAAGAGGUAACUAGUUCAUUCCAAUCCUAUGAGGAAAGAGGUCUUGAUGAUCCUAUGAUGGGGAUCCUUCUCCAAGAGGAGGCCUUGAUAUCCAUAAGAGGAUCUUCUCCCUUAGGAGGUCAUGAUCUCCAAGAGGAGGAAGAUGAGCAAAGCUCUCUCAAUAUCUCACAUAUACUUUGCUACCCUCUAGAACAAGCUAGGUGAGGGGUACUUAUGGUCUAAGGACGAAAUGGGGGAAAAACGGGGGUACAUGGGUCAUUUGACCCUAAGUGCACGCAGGCACAUUUCGGGAUGUCCGGGCACCCGGUGUAAAUGUCCGGGCACCCGGGGAUGCUUGGGAGGAGGAGGCCGGGCACCCGGGGCUAAGGGGCCGGCACCUGGGGAUGCUUGGGAGGAGGAGGCCAGGCACCCAGGGCUAAGGGGCCGGCACCCGGGGUGCGCCCAGGGGGGUUCCGGGCACCCGGGGGGUGAAGGCCCGGGCACCCGGGAAGGUCAGAGGCAUCCCGCCCCACUUGGUCGGCCGGUGCGGGCACCCGGGGGUGUAUGGUGCGGGCACCCGGGGUGUCUAGAGAGCCUCCGGUUUCUCUCGUCUUGGGGUCCCUUCUUAUUCUUCUUGGGGCUCCAUGUGUACUUGGAGAUCCCUUCUUGCUUCUUCAUGGUCUUCUCCUCGAUACCUAGUCACGCACAAAGUCUCCGCUUGAGGUAGAAGCCAUUUCUCAUAUGAAAUCAAAGGGAGCUCGAAGAGGAAAGAGGUAACCUCGGUUUCAAUAGUACGUGCAUGGGUUGUUGUCAUCGGUCCACUUAACGUUCGUGGUGGUAAUGGAAUGCACAUGGGGAUGACCGUGGGAUGCUCCGCAUCAUCUCCUCUCCCUUGGGAAAGAUCCAUCUUCGGAUCAAAAACCAAAUCACCAUGGGAAAGAGAGGGCGUCGACGUGUAGAAGUGGACGAUCACCAAGCACUUAUCAAGUUGAAGCUCGAAAUGGGCACUCUCCAAUGUUGCAACGUCUUGUGAUUCCUUCAAAAGGAGCAAGGACAACAAAUACUUGGAAAAACGAAUGUGGGCGUUAGUGCCAAACCAAGCAUUCAAGUGGUGAUUCAUCCAACAAGUGUCGUCAUCAAGCAUAGCAUAUGGUUUGACAAAGAAGUGUGACAUGGCAUGUAAUAAACACAUAAAUUGAGCACAAGUAAAAGGAUCAUGGAAACAAUCAUGCAAAGGCGAGGUAAAGGUGCUAAUAUGUGUGACAAGAGAACAAGCAUCUACCGCAAUGUCAUAGCAAGCAUGCACAAGGUGCUCAAUGAACGGUCUAUGGUAGGCAUAAGAGUCAUUCACAACACCGAGUGAAAUGAAAUGUCUAAACACAUGGGGCAAGUGCAAGACAAUCCAAGCAUAACAUGCAUAUGGUGUGGUGAAGAUAGUGUGGCUCUCAACACAAAUGAGAUAGCAAUUGUGCAGCAUGUGUGAGGCAAUCAAGUCGUGCAAGUGCGAAGAUGCAACAUACUAUAGGUAAUCAUGGCAUGUCAUGGUUGCAAGUAGUAGGCAUAGGAAAUGCACAUGGCAUAUCGCAAGCACGAACACAAAACAAGAUCAAGGUAUCAUCAUAGGCAUUGGGCACAAAGCAAACAUGUCAAUAACAAGCAAUAUCUCCACCAAGCUUGCAAAUACACAUACAAGUUGUAGAAUCAAUCAUCAUGUGUAAUACAAAGUAUGGGUCACAAAUGCAUGGUAAAGGCAUAGGAAUAAGCAUGUUGUGCAAAGUGAACAUGGCAAGAUGGGCAUAGAGUAUGUAGUGGACAAUAACCCAUAACCAUGAGGGCCAUGUAGAAGAAAUGCGUGAAGUCAUUGUGUGGAGGGAGCGGUAGUAAGGAUACUCCAUGGAAUCCCAAAUCAUUGUUGCUCUCAAGAGCUCGUUUCUUCAACUCAUGGCAUUGUGAGGUUGACGAGUAUCCGUGAGUACCUACACAAAACAAAGGCAAAGGGAAAAUUGUCUGUGCGUGGUAUAUGUGCACAUCAUCCAUUAUGAUGCAUACGUACAUGUGUUCGUUAGCACAAAAUAUCCAAUGCGGUGGUGUGAUGGUGGGAGUGGAUUUUUCACCGAGCUUGGACUGUGGUAACAAGUGAAUCAACGGCUAAAUGUGAAAUCUUGAGAGACAUUCUCUGCUUCCCGGUUCAUAGGACCACUGGGUUUGUGUCCAUCAAUUUUUUUGAAAGUUCUGAACGUAAUUUAUGUGGUACAGUAUCUAGAAGUUGAUUUGUUUCUCGAUAAACUUCGCCAAACGUGGAAGGACCUAUUUUGUUAUCGUAGAAAUCAGAGUUUCUUUUGUUCCCUUACUAUAAGCGUGGACACACUUACAAAGUGUUGACUUAAACACAAAAUUCAUAGGCCUUACAAACAUCGGUUUUGCCCGGUUUUUGUGCUGACUCACCCCGGUUUUGAUCAUGUUGGUUCAAAUUCGCAUAAUUAUUUCAAACCCAUGAACUUGUUUGAAAUUCGCGUAAUUUUUCAAACCAACUUACUUUUUACAAGUUCACAUAAUUUUUCAAAAAUCGCUCACUUUUUCCAAAUCCGUGUAGUUUCUCAAAUCCGCAUACUUUUUCCAAGUUCACGUAUUUUUUUUCUGGUUCAGGUACUUUUUUCAAAUUCGUGAACUUUUUAAAAUUCCAGUUACUUUUUCCCUAUUCGUGGACUCCUCUACCUCGGGAUGGGUGUUUCCGGAGGUGAGGAGGGUGCCCGCCAUGGCCCCUCCAUGACUCCUCGAGGCCCGUCUCAUCUUCAUCGCCAGCCCCACCUCCUCGCAUGACAGCGGAGGAGGAGGCCCGUCUCAUGGCACGUGUGCUAGAGGACUCCAUGCACACGCACAACGAGCGCCAAUGGGAGGGCCUCGAGGAGAUGACGACCCUCUCCGCGGCCGGCGACGUCGCCAUCCCCGAGCUGGAGAUGGUGCCGAAGGAGGAGGUGGUGGAGGAGCCGCCGGUGGCCGCGUUCCACCCGGGCCUGUGGGCCAGGGGUGGAGUUGGUCAUGCACCGCAGAGCAGAUGGCGGCCGCCGUGGGGGGCAUGAAGUGGUGCCCCACGCCGCCGCGGUCACUGGAGCGGGACGCCUCGCCACGGGAGGAGGUGGUGCAGGCACCUGCCACCUUCCAGCCCGCCGCCCCCGUGCACCACGGACCGCCGGCCCACCUGUGGACGCCGCCGGACUACGUCGACCUCGUCAGCGACGACGACGACACCGGCGGCCACUGAAGACGGCGAUGGCCACAACAUCGAUGGGCGCGGCAGGAGCGCGCGGGCAGCAUUUUUUAUUUUAUUUUUAUGUUAAUUAUGGAACUGGGCCGUUUAAGUGGACCGUGAAACUGGGCCGUUUUGUGGCCGUGACCCCUAAAUAUGUUUUAAGUUUUUUUAACUGCGUUUAUUUACCUUUUUAGGUAGUUUAUUUAAGUUUUUUUGUUUUCUUUAAUCACGUCCACCCCGGACAUGAUUUGGUGUGCUGCCGCGCGUUGGGCGCACCCACGACCCUGUUGGAAAUAUGCCCUAGAGGCAAUAAUAAAAGUAUUAUUAUUAUAUUUCCUAGUUCAUGGUAAUUGUCUUUAUUCAUGCUAUAAUUGUGUUAUCCGGAAAUCGUCAUACACGUGUGAAUAACAGACACCAACAUGUCCCUGGUAAGCCUCUAGUUGACUAGCUCGUUGAUCAACAGAUAGUCAUGGUUUCCUGACUAUGGACAUUGGAUGUCAUUGAUAACGAGAUCACAUCAUUAGGAGAAUGAUGUGAUGGACAAGACCCAAUCCUAAACAUAGCACAAGAUCGUAUAGUUCGUUUGCUAGAGUUUUUCCAAUGUCAAGUAUCCUUUCCUUAGACCAUGAGAUCGUGUAACUCCCGGAUGCCGUAGGAGUGCUUUGGGUGUACCAAACGUCACAACGUAACUGGGUGACUAUAAAGGUAUACUACGGGUAUCUCCGAAAGUGUCUGUUGGGUUGACACGGAUCAAGACUGGGAUUUGUCACUCCGUAUGACGGAGAGGUAUCACUGGGCCCACUCGGUAAUGCAUCAUCAUUAUGAGCUCAUAGUGACCAAGUGUCUAGUCACGGGAUCAUGCAUUACGGUACGAGUAAAGUGACUUGCCGGUAACGAGAUUGAACAAGGUAUUGGGAUACCGACGAUCGAAUCUCGGGCAAGUAACAUGCCGAUUGACAAAGGGAAUUGAAUACGGGGUUGCUUGAAUCCUCGACAUCGUGGUUCAUCCGAUGAGAUCAUCGAGGAGCAUGUGGGAGCCAACAUGGGUAUCCAGAUCCCGCUGUUGGUUAUUGACCGGAGAGUCAUCUCGGUCAUGUCUGCAUGUCUCCCGAACCCGUAGGGUCUACACACUUAAGGUUCGGUGAUGCUAGGGUUGUGAAGAUAUGUAUAUGCAGUAACCCGAAUGUUGUUCGGAGUCCCGGAUGAGAUCCCGGACGUCACGAGGAGUUUCGGAAUAGUCUGGAGGUGAAGAAUUAUAUAUAGGAAGUGCUGUUUCGGCCAUCGGGACAAGUUUCGGGGUCACCGGUAUUGUACCGGGACCACCGGAAGGGUCCCGGGGGUCCACCGAAAGGGUCCCGGGGGUCCACCGGGUGGGGCCACCCAUCCCGGAGGGCCCCAUGGGCCAAAGUGGGGAGGGGAACCAGCCCAUAGUGGGCUGGUGCGCCCCCCUAGGCCCACCCCAUGCGCCUAGGGUUGGAACCCUAGGGGUGGGGGGCGCCCCACCUUGCCUUGGGGGCCACUCCAGCCCUGGCCGCCGCCCCCCCUAGGAGAUCUCAUCUCCUAGGGCCGGCGCCCCCCUAGGGGAGCCUAUAUAUAUGAGGGGGAGGGAGGGGGCAGCCGCACCUUGAGCCCUGGCGCCUCCCUCUCCCCUGCUACACCUCUCUCUCUCUCGUAGUAUAAGGCGAAGCCCUGCUACUGUGACGCCCUGCAUCCACCACCACGCCGUCGUGCUGCUGGAUCUUCAUCAACUUCUCCUUCCCCCUUGCUGGAUCAAGAAGGAGGAGACGUCACGCUGACUGUACGUGUGUUGAACGCGGAGGUGCCGUCCGUUCGGCGCUAGGAUCUCCGGUGAUUUGGAUCACGUUGUGUACGACUUCCUCAUCCCCGUUCUUUGAACGCUUCCGCGCGUGAUCUACAAAGGUAUGUAGAUGCAAUCCUAUCACUCGUUGCUAGAUGAACUCAUAGAUGGAUCUUGGUGAAACCGUAGGAAAUUUUUUGUUUUCUGCAACGUUCCCCAACAGUGGCAUCAUGAGCUAGGUCUAUGCGUAGUUCUUCUUGCGCGAGUAGAACACAAUUUGUUGUGGGCGUAGAUGUUGUCAACUUUCUUGCCGCUACUAGUCUUAUCUUGCUUCAACGGUAUUGUGGGAUGAAGCGGCCCGGACCAACCUUACACGUACGCUUACGUGAGACUGGUUCCACCGACUAACAUGCACUAGUUGCAUAAGGUGGCUGGCGGGUGUCUGUCUCUCCUACUUUAGUUGGAGCAUAUUCGAUGAAAAGGGUCCUUAUGAAGGGUAAAUAGAAGUUGACAAAUCACGUUGUGGCUUUCACAUAGGUAAGAAAACGUUCUUGCUAGAACCCUAAUGCAGCCACGUAAAACUUGCAACAACAAUUAGAGGACGUCUAACUUGUUUUUGCAGCAAGUGCUUUGUGAUAUGAUAUGGCCAAAGUUGUGAUGAAUGAUGAAUGAUAUAUAUGUGAUGUAUGAGAUGUUCAUGCUAUUGUAAUAGGAAUCACGACUUGCAUGUCGAUGAGUAUGACAACCGGCAGGAGCCAUAGGAGUUGUCUUUAUUUUUUUAUAUGACCUGCGUGUCAUUGAGAAACGUCAUGUAAAUUACUUUACUUUAUUGCUAAACACGUUAGCCAUAGUAGUAGAAGUAAUAGUUGGCGAGCAACUUCAUGGAGACACGAUGAUGGAGAUCAUGGUGUCAUGCCGGUGACAAGAUGAUCAUGGAGCCCCAAGAUGGAGAUCAAAGGAGCCAUGUGAUAUUGGCCAUAUCAUGUCACUAUUAUUAUUUGAUUGCAUGUGAUGUUUAUCAUGUUUUGCAUCUUGUUUACUUAGAACGACGGUAGUAAAUAAGAUGAUCCCUCAUAAUAAUUUCAAGAAAGUGUUCCCCCUAACUGUGCACCGUUGCGACAGUUCGUUGUUUCGAAGCACCACGUGAUGAUCGGGUGUGAUAGAUUCUAACGUUCACAUACAACGGGUGUAAGACAGAUUUACACAUGCAAACACUUAGGUUGACUUGACGAGCCUAGCAUGUACAAACAUGGCCUCGGAACACAGAAGACCGAAAGGUCGAGCAUGAGUCAUAUAGAAGAUACGAUCAACAUGAAGAUGUUCACCGACGUUGACUAGUUCGUCUCACGUGAUGAUCGGACACGGCCUAGUUGACUCGGAUCAUGUUAUACUUAGAUGACUAGAAGAGGGAUGUCUAUCUAAGUGGGAGUUCAUUGAAUAAUUUGAUUAGAUGAACUUAAUUAUCAUGAACUUAGUCUAAAAUCUUUACAAUAUGUCUUGUAGAUCAAAUGGCCAAUGUAGUCCUCAACUUCAAUGCGUUCCUAGAGAAAACCAAGCUGAAAGACGAUGGCAGCAACUACACGGACUGGGUCCGGAACCUUAGGAUCAUCCUCAUAGCUGCCAAGAAAGAAUAUGUCCUACAAGCACCGCUAGGUGACGCACCCGUCCCACAGAACCAAGAUGUUAUGAACGCUUGGCAGACACUGUUGAUGACUACUCCCUCGUUCAGUGCGGCAUGCUUUACAACUUAGAGCCGGGGCUCCAAAAGCGUUUUGAGAGACAUGGAGCAUAUGAGAUGUUCGAAGAGCUGAAAAUGGUUUUUCAAGCUCAUGCCCGGGUCGAGAGAUAUGAAGUCUCUGACAAGCUCUUCAGCUGUAAGAUGGAGGAAAAUAGUUCUGUCAGUGAGCACAUACUCACUAUGUCUGGGUUACAUAACCGCUUGACUCAGCUGGGAGUUAAUCUCCCGGAUGAUGCGGUCAUUGACAGAAUCCUCCAGUCGCUUCCACCAAGCUACAAGAGCUUUGUGAUGAACUUCAAUAUGCAGGGGAUGGAAAAGACCAUUCCUGAGUUAUUUUCAAUGCUGAAAUCAGCAGAGGUAGAAGUCAAGAAGGAACAUCAAGUGUUGAUUGUGAAUAAAACCGCUAAGUUCAAGAAGGGCAAGGGUAAAAAGAACUUCAAGAAGGACGUCAAGGGAGUUGCCGCGCCCGGUAAGCAAGCUACCGGGAAGAAGCCAAAGAAUGGACCCAAGCCCGAGACUGGGUGCUUUUAUUGCAAGGGAAGUGGUCACUGGAAGCGGAACUGCCCCAAAUACUUAGCGGACAAGAAGGCCGGCAAAACGAAAGGUAUAUGUGAUAUACAUGUAAUUGAUGUGUACCUUACCAGUACUCAUAGUAGCUCUUGGGUAUUUGAUACCGGUGCAGUUGCUCACAUUUGUAACUCAAAGCAGGAGCUGCGGAAUAAGCGGAGACUGGCGAAGGACGAGGUGACGAUGCGCGUCGGGAAUGGUUCCAAGGUCGAUGUGAUCGCCGUCGGCAUGCUGCCUCUUCAUUUACCUACAGGAUUAGUUUUAAACCUCAAUAAUUGUUAUUUAGUACCGAGUUUGAGCAUGAACAUUGUAUCAGGAUCUCGUUUGAUACGAGAUGGCUACUCAUUUAAAUCCGAGAAUAAUGGUUGUUCUAUUUAUAUGAGAGAUAUGUUUUAUGGUCAUGCUCCGAUGGUGAAUGGUUUAUUCUUAAUGAAUCUCGAGCAUAAUGCUACACAUGUUCAUAGUGUGAGUACCAAAAGAUGUAAGGUUGAUAAUGAUAGUCCCACAUACUUGUGGCACUGCCGCCUUGGUCACAUAGGUGUCAAACGCAUGAAGAAGCUCCAUGCAGAUGGACUUUUAGAGUCUCUUGAUUAUGAAUCAUUUGACACGUGCGAACCAUGCCUCAUGGGUAAACUGACCAAGACUCCGUUCUAAGGAACAAUGGAGCGAGCAACCAACUUAUUGGAAAUCAUACAUACUGAUGUGUGCGGUCCAAUGAGCGUUGAGGCUCGCGGUGGCUAUCGUUAUGUUCUCACCCUCACUGAUGACUUGAGUAGAUAUGGGUAUGUCUACUUAAUGAAACACAGGUCUGAAACCUUUGAAAAGUUCAAGGAAUUUCAGAGUGAGGUUGAGAAUCAACGUGACAGAAAAAUCAGGUUCCUACGAUCAGAUCGUGGAGGAGAAUACUUGAGUCACGAAUUUGGCACACAUUUAAGAAAAUGUGGAAUAGUUUCACAACUCACGCCGCCUGGAACACCUCAGCGUAAUGGUGUGUCCGAACGUCGUAAUCGCACUCUAUUAGAUAUGGUGCGAUCUAUGAUGUCUCUUACCGAUUUACCGCUAUCUUUUUGGGUAUAUGCUUUAGAGACUGCCGCAUUCACUUUAAAUAGGGCUCCGUCGAAAUCCGUUGAGACGACACCGUAUGAAUUAUGGUUUGGGAAGAAACCUAAGUUGUCGUUUCUAAAAGUUUGGGGAUGCGACACUUAUGUCAAGAAACUUCAACCUGAAAAGCUCGAACCCAAGUCGAAAAAAUGCGUCUUCAUAGGAUACCCUAAAGAAACUAUUGGGUAUACCUUCUACCUCAGAUCCGAUGGCAAGAUCUUUGUUGCCAAGAAUGGAUCCUUUCUGGAGAAAGAGUUUCUCUCGAAAGAAGUAAGUGGGAGGAAAGUAGAACUUGAUGAAGUAUUACCUCUUGAACCGGAAAAGGGCGCAACUCAAGAAAAUGUUCCUGAGGUGCCUGCACCGACUAGAGAGGAAGUUAAUGAUGGUGAUCAAGAUACUUCUGAUCAAGCUCCUACUGAAAUUCGUAGGUCCACAAGGACACGUUCCAUACCAGAGUGGUACGGCAACCCUGUCUUGGAAAUCAUGUUGUUAGACAACGGUGAACCUUCGAACUAUGAAGAAGCGAUGGCGGGCCCGGAUUCCGACAAAUGGCUGGAAGCCAUGAAAUCCGAGAUAGGAUCCAUGUAUAAAAACGAAGUAUGGACUUUGACUGACUUGCCCGAUGAUCGACGAGCCAUAGAAAAUAAAUGGAUCUUUAAGAAGAAGACAGACGUGGAUGGUAAUGUGACCAUCCAUAAAGCUCGGCUUGUCGCUAAGGGUUAUCGACAAGUUCAAGGGGUUGACUACGAUGAGACUUUCUCACCGGUAGCGAAGCUGAAGUCCGUCCGAAUUAUGUUAGCAAUUGCCGCAUACUAUGAUUAUGAGAUAUGGCAAAUGGACGUCAAAACGGCAUUCCUUAAUGGUUUCCUUAAGGAAGAAUUGUAUAUGAUGCAGCCGGAAGGUUUUGUCGAUCCUGAGAAUGCUGACAAGGUGUGCAAGCUCCAACGCUCGAUUUAUGGGCUGGUGCAAGCAUCUCGGAGUUGGAACAUUCGCUUUGAUGAGAUGAUCAAAGCGUUUGGGUUUACACAGACUUAUGGAGAAGCCUUCGUUUACAAGAAAGUGAGUGGGAGCUCUGUAGCAUUUCUCAUAUUAUAUGUAGAUGACAUACUUUUGAUGGGAAAUGAUAUAGAACUCUUGGACAGCAUUAAGGCCUACUUGAAUAAGAGUUUUUCAAUGAAGGACCUUGGAGAAGCUGCUUAUAUAUUAGGCAUCAAGAUCUAUAGAGAUAGAUCGAGACGCCUCAUAGGUCUUUCACAAAGCACAUACCUUGAUAAGAUAUUGAAGAAGUUCAAUAUGGAUCAAUCUAAGAAGGGGUUCUUGCCUGUGUUACAAGGUAUGAAAUUGAGCUCAGCUCAAUGUCCAACCACGGCAGAAGAUAUAGAAGAGAUGAGUGUCAUCCCCUAUGCCUCAGCCAUAGGUUCUAUUAUGUAUGCCAUGCUGUGUACCAGACCUGAUGUAAACCUUGCUGUAAGUUUGGUAGGAAGGUACCAAAGUAAUCCCGGCAAGGAACACUGGACAGCGGUCAAGAAUAUCCUGAAGUACCUGAAAAGGACUAAGGAAAUGUUUCUCGUUUAUGGAGGUGACGAAGAGCUCGUCGUAAAGGGUUACGUCGACGCUAGCUUCGACACAGAUCUGGAUGACUCAAAGUCACAAACCGGAUACAUGUAUAUUUUGAAUGGUGGGGCAGUAAGCUGGUGCAGUUGCAAGCAGAGCGUCGUGGCGGGAUCUACAUGUGAAGCGGAGUACAUGGCAGCCUCGGAGGCAGUGCAUGAAGCAAUUUGGGUGAAAGAGUUCAUCACCGACCUAGGAGUCAUACCCAAUGCGUCGGGGCCAAUCAAACUCUUCUGUGAUAACACUGGAGCCAUUGCACUUGCCAAGGAUCCCAGGUUUCACAAGAAGACAAGGCACAUCAAGUGUCGCUUCAACUCCAUUCGUCAAAAUGUUCAAGAUGGAGACAUAGAGAUUUGUAAAGUGCAUACGGACCUGAAUGUAGCGGAUCCGUUGACUAAACCUCUCCCUAGAGCAAAACAUGAUCAACACCAGAAUUCCAUGGGUGUUCGAUUCAUCACAAUGUAACUAGAGUAUUGACUCUAGUGCAAGUGGGAGACUAUUGGAAAUAUGCCCUAGAGGCAAUAAUAAAAGUAUUAUUAUUAUAUUUCCUAGUUCAUGGUAAUUGUCUUUAUUCAUGCUAUAAUUGUGUUAUCCGGAAAUCGUCAUACACGUGUGAAUAACAGACACCAACAUGUCCCUAGUAAGCCUCUAGUUGACUAGCUCGUUGAUCAACAGAUAGUCAUGGUUUCCUGACUAUGGACAUUGGAUGUCAUUGAUAACGAGAUCACAUCAUUAGGAGAAUGAUGUGAUGGACAAGACCCAAUCCUAAACAUAGCACAAGAUCGUAUAGUUCGUUUGCUAGAGUUUUUCCAAUGUCAAGUAUCCUUUCCUUAGACCAUGAGAUCGUGUAACUCCCGGAUGCCGUAGGAGUGCUUUGGGUGUACCAAACGUCACAACGUAACUGGGUGACUAUAAAGGUAUACUACGGGUAUCUCCGAAAGUGUCUGUUGGGUUGACACGGAUCAAGACUGGGAUUUGUCACUCCGUAUGACGGAGAGGUAUCACUGGGCCCACUCGGUAAUGCAUCAUCAUUAUGAGCUCAUAGUGACCAAGUGUCUGGUCACGGGAUCAUGCAUUACGGUAUGAGUAAAGUGACUUGCCGGUAACGAGAUUGAACAAGGUAUUGGGAUACCGACGAUCGAAUCUAGGGCAAGUAACAUGCCGAUUGACAAAGGGAAUUGAAUACGGGGUUGCUUGAAUCCUCGACAUCGUGGUUCAUCCGAUGAGAUCAUCGAGGAGCAUGUGGGAGCCAACAUGGGUAUCCAGAUCCCGCUGUUGGUUAUUGACCGGAGAGUCAUCUCGGUCAUGUCUGCAUGUCUCCCGAACCCGUAGGGUCUACACACUUAAGGUUCGGUGAUGCUAGGGUUGUGAAGAUAUGUAUAUGCAGUAACCCGAAUGUUGUUCGGAGUCCCGGAUGAGAUCCCGGACGUCACGAGGAGUUUCGGAAUAGUCUGGAGGUGAAGAAUUAUAUAUAGGAAGUGCUGUUUCGGCCAUCGGGACAAGUUUCGGGGUCACCGGUAUUGUACCGGGACCACCGGAAGGGUCCCGGGGGUCCACCGGGUGGGGCCACCCAUCCCGGAGGGCCCCAUGGGCCAAAGUGGGUAGGGGAACCAGCCCAUAGUGGGCUGGUGCGCCCCCUAGGCCCACCCCAUGCGCCUAGGGUUGGAACCCUAGGGGUGGGGGGCGCCCCACCUUGCCUUGGGGGCCACUCCAGCCCUGGCCGCCGCCCCCCUAGGAGAUCUCAUCUCCUAGGGCCGGCGCCCCCCCUAGGGGAGCCUAUAUAUAUGAGGGGGAGGGAGGGGGCAGCCGCACCUUGAGCCCUGGCGCCUCCCUCUCCCCUGCUACACCUCUCUCUCUCUCUCGUAGUAUAAGGCGAAGCCCUGCUACUGUGACGCCCUGCAUCCACCACCACGCCGUCGUGCUGCUGGAUCUUCAUCAACUUCUCCUUCCCCCUUGCUGGAUCAAGAAGGAGGAGACGUCAUGCUGAUCGUACAUGUGUUGAACGCGGAGGUGCCGUCCGUUCGGCGCUAGGAUCUCCGGUGAUUUGGAUCACGUUGUGUACGACUUCCUCAUCCCCGUUCUUUGAACACUUCCGCGCGUGAUCUACAAAGGUAUGUAGAUGCAAUCCUAUCACUCGUUGCUAGAUGAACUCAUAGAUGGAUCUUGGUGAAACCGUAGGAAAAUUUUUGUUUUCUGCAACGUUCCCUAACAGACCCAACCAGACGUCCGUUUAGGGACAAAAUCCGGCCAAACCGGACGUCCGUUUAGGGUCAUGCUGUGGAGUUGGCCUUAUAGGAGUAGUGACAAUCAGACCGUGAACAUCGGCAGACACGUACGUAUGUAGUACAGUUGUUGGCAUAUCUGAAGUCUGCACUAUUCACAGCUAGAUCUGGGUUGGGAAUUGAACCUGGAUUUGAAAUCAAAUCAUGUGGUCCGCUUAGCUUAGAUACGGGAGGCUAAAUUUGAUGUUUUGACCCUUUACUGAAAGUUAUUCGAGAUCUGACCCCAGUUUGUAAAAAUUUCGGGAUCUGACCCUUUUUCUACCGACAGGGUCUAUGGCGGUAGGGUUGCAUAACCUACCGCCAGGGUCUCUGACGGUAGGACUUGCCGGCACCGUCAUGCCCGUUUAAUACGAAAAAGACCCUACCGCCAUAGUAAUUGGCGGUAGGCAAUGCAACCCUACCGCCAAGGUAUUUGGCGGUAUGGUCUUCUAGCCAGAUUUCACACUCCCUGCCAAUCUGAAUAAUCUACAGUAGCCUAGUAACCUAGUAGUCUCAUGCACGAGAGAGAGAGCGCGUAAUUAAAAUUCUACUAGCCUGCAACUUGCCGCUGUUGUGUGUUCGCGCUCCCAUGCACACAGCACUCAAUGCAUGCAGCACAUCCAUGGCAUGCAGCUCAUUCAUUCACCCAUCCCCAUACAUGCACCAUCUAUCUUAUUUUUUAGUAUUGUAAAGUAGCACACUUUAUGGAGCAGUGCAAUGCAGCGCAGCUUUAGCUGCCACGGGCUUUGACAUUUUAUUAGGCUCCUAUCGUCAAGCACCCUGGCGAUAGGGUAUAAUGGGCUACCCCCAAGGAUACUGGCGGUAGAGUAUUUUCCACGUUAGAUGUCCGUUACGGCGCAGUCAAAGCCUACCGCCAGAAUCUCUGGCGGUAGACAGUUAAACCUUACCGCCAGAGACAAUGGCGGUAGGAAAAAGGGUCAGAUCCCGAAAUUUUUACGAACUGGGGUCAAAUCUCAAAUAAGUUUCAGAAAAGGGUCAAAACACGAAAUUUAGCCGAUACGGGAGAGUCUUUUCACGGGUGACGCCGUGCUGACGCCAUCGCAGAGCAGCGGCAAGCCGCACGAGUAGCAGACGCCAAUUGUUUUUUUUCUAUUUUUGAGGAUCAGCAGCAGAGGCCAAAUAGGACCCGCCUUCCCUCUGCCCUCGUCAGCGCAAACUUUGGUUCCCACUCACCAGACGCCGCGUGGGGCAGCCUUGCCAGGCGACCUGGCCCGCGCGUCAGAGACCCUAAACCCACCCACCACCCACCCACCCCUGGUGCGGUGCGCGCUUGGGAGCCGCCAAGCCCGGCGACGGCUAUGGGUCUAUCUCCACGGGGUGCGGUGCGACUCUUAUUUAACCGGGCGCGAGGGGGGUCGAGGAGGGGUAGGUGGUCGCUCUCGCAUCGCAUCCGCAUCCCACGCUCGUCCUCCUUCCUUCUCCCUCGACCCGCGCAGCGCAGGCAGAUCUCAUCCCAUCCAAGGCAGGCAGGUCAGGCCACUCUCCCCCCUCCCGAAUCUCCCCCCUUCCUCUCCCCCCUCGUUCGUUCGUUCGCUCGCCCCCCGAUCUCCAUCGCAGCCCGGGCGUGGCUUCCGGCAGGGCGGGCAGAGGAAUCGAGGCGACACCGGCGAGGUACGUGAGGCGGGUCGCUGAGUUUUUUCCUACUUCUGCUUUUAGGGACGGGCGGUAGGUAGGGGCUAAAGCUGGGUUGGACGGUGCCCACCUCAGACCCAUGGGACGGGAGCAAUCUACUUGACCGGGUCAUGGCAGGGAAUCUCGCGUUGGUUGCGUCUGUCUACCGCCAGGACACUAGGCUAGAUCGCCAUAUACGUGCCAGUCAAGCUCAGAACGGCGAUGCUACUUCAGUUGGUCCUGCGGUAGCAUGAAUUGCCCGACAGGCAGGGACAUAGCUCAUCUGCAGGUAGCAUCAUCAGCUACUGUAUCAUGUGUUUCUACAAGUAGCUGUAGCCUGUAGUUGAGAAUGCGGGGGUACCCUGUUUUUUUCUGCUUUUUUUCUUGUUGUUUCUGCGUGAUGGUGGCUGUAGCUGAAACCAUGCCACCAUAUGAUCGACGCUGGAUGAUAACUGUGCUAUGUUUUGAGCAUCUCAGUGCUAGUAGCUGUUGUAGUAUGUUCCUGAGCAGCCAGCAUGGGAUUUGUGCCUGAGCUGCGCUGUCUUGGCCUCGUGGGUCACGGCUGAUUGACCCGUACUAUGGAUUAUGUUGCAGUAUACUAUCGGUUUAUUGAGCAAAUCAUCAUGUGGCUCGCUCAAUCAAAUCGGCGGCGCUGUUCGAUGCGAUUUUGAUUUCCUAGUGAACUAUGUUGCCGUAGACCAUAAAAGAGUAGGUUGUAGUUGGUUAUGGAUUUGAAUUUGACAUGUCCGCCCUGCUGCAUCUAUCCAGUGAACAUAGCAUCCAAUACUGAUUGCAUCUACUCUGAUUGACAUUUGUAACCUCACAUUCAGUUAUCCGUUGGCUACUGUCUGGAACCUCUGUUCGCUGCAAACAAUUUGUCAGAGUGAAGCUUGUUCUUGCGUCUAGUGCAUAUGCAUCAUCAUUUGGCCUCUAUAGACAGGCUUUUAUCCUUUCUAGUAAGACAUGCAUAAAUAAAUUAUCUAACUGACUUUGUGUUUGGUUCAUAUCUUUUUCAGGUACAAGAUGGCUCUCACCAGAAUUGAUCUUGCUGGCCUCGCCGUCAUGGGGCAGAACCUUGCCCUCAACAUUGCAGAGAAAGGCUUCCCCAUCUCUAUCUACAACAGGACCACCUCCAAGGUCGAUGAGACCGUUCAGCGCGCCAAGCUAGAAGGAAACCUUCCUCUCUACGGUUUCCAUGACCCUGCAUCCUUCGUCAACUCCAUUCAGAAGCCACGUGUCGUCAUCAUGUUUGUCAAGGCCGGCGCUCCGGUUGACCAGACCAUCGCAAUGCUCGCGGCACACCUGGAGCAGGGUGACUGCAUCGUUGACAGAGGAAACGAGUGGUAUGAGAACACGGAAAGGAGGGAGAAGGCGAUGGAGGAGCGUGGACUCCUCUAC